GAUGAACGCUGGCGGCGUGCUUAACACAUGCAAGUCGAACGGAAAGGCCCAAGCUUGCUUGGGUACUCGAGUGGCGAACGGGUGAGUAACACGUGGGUGAUCUGCCCUGCACUUCGGGAUAAGCCUGGGAAACUGGGUCUAAUACUGGAUAGGACCACUUCUUGGAUGGUGUGGUGGAAAGUUUUUUCGGUGUGGGAUGAGCUCGCGGCCUAUCAGCUUGUUGGUGGGGUAAUGGCCUACCAAGGCGUCGACGGGUAGCCGGCCUGAGAGGGUGUACGGCCACAUUGGGACUGAGAUACGGCCCAGACUCCUACGGGAGGCAGCAGUGGGGAAUAUUGCACAAUGGGCGCAAGCCUGAUGCAGCGACGCCGCGUGGGGGAUGACGGCCUUCGGGUUGUAAACUCCUUUCGCUAGGGACGAAGCGUUUUUGUGACGGUACCUGGAGAAGAAGCACCGGCUAACUACGU
This 467-nucleotide ribosomal RNA is filed under the name uncultured bacterium. RNAcentral describes it as "partial 16S ribosomal RNA". It matches the Rfam family "Bacterial small subunit ribosomal RNA", at positions 28 to 506 of the family's 1533-position model. The record is from RNAcentral.